This is a long non-coding RNA of Strongylocentrotus purpuratus (purple sea urchin), 2302 nucleotides long. RefSeq lists it as uncharacterized. The transcript is spliced from 6 exons. The record is from RefSeq and is a predicted model, not a curated record. NCBI's taxonomy places the organism in Eukaryota, Metazoa, Echinodermata, Echinoidea, Camarodonta, Strongylocentrotidae.
AGAAGGAGAAGGAGAAGAAGAAGAAGAACAACAACAACAAGAACCGCAAGAACAAGGAGAAGGAGGAGGAGAAGGAGGAGGCCUAGUCAAGAUGAAAUAUAAUCCAAAAGGGAAAAGGAAUCGCAUACGAAGACGAUGCCCGAUAUGUCGAGAAGAAACAUCAGAUAUGUCAAAGCACCUUGAACGGAAACACAGACUAAAUGGAGAGGAACGGUGGAAGUAUAUUUAUCAAGCAAGAUCCAGUGUCCUUAUUCAACGCUUAGGAAAAAAAGAAGAGAGGAAAAGGCUGACUGCCCCAAGUGUCCCGCUAAAAACCUGUCUAAUUUGUGGGACCACAACAAAAGGAAACAUUCGGGAGAGAAAGAAAUACUGGUACAUGUACAAAGUGGUAAGACUUGAUUAUCUGACUGUAAAGUAGAUUUUUGAUGUUCUUGCAUGAGAUACAUACAAACAAAGUGGUAAGACUUGAUUGUCUGACUGUAAAGUGGAUUUUUGAUGUUUGUGCAUGACAAUAUAAAAACAAAAAUUUAUCUAAAUCUUUUUUACCAAAAUAAAGAGAUUUUUACAGCCAAGAUAAGAGAAUAUGAUUGUUUUUUUCUUCUAAUGACUUAAAUAAAUAAAGUAAACUGAAUUCCUGUUGAAUACAGUUAAAGAUUGUUUGGUAUUUAGUAAAGCAAAGCGCAUGUCAUGCCAUUAUUUCAAUUAUGGUAUUUGUGUACAGAAAUUCAGAAGUCUCUACAAAUUGUCUCAUGUAGUACAUGUAUUGUAAGUGGUGAAUAAUAGAAUCUAUUUGAAUUAUACUUUUUUACAAUAUUCUUAUAAAUUUAAUUACAACUGUAGCUGGAAAGCAAAUAUGUUUUUCAGCUUAUGUUGAAAGCUACAAUUGGAUUAUAUUUGUAGCUUUUCCUUGAUGAAUUAACCUUUAAUUUCGUAUUUAGCUUUAUUUGCCUUCAAUAGAACAACAGGAAGAAGAACUGGACAUUCUUCAAAAGUAUGGGCAGUAUGUGCAAUUCUGCUCGGCUGGCCACCACAUAUCAAAUGUUAAACGAGUUGAACAGCUACUUGGAAGAGUAGGAGGGAUGAAACAACUCUUCGUUGACAAGGGAUCAAUGUAAUCAAGAAACAUUGAUAGCCGUUGAGAACUUGAAAGGUUUUCACAGACAGUUGAUGGCACAAGCAGAAGUAACAUCAGAAAUUCGGCAGAAAGGAGUACCGAUCAGCCCCACUGAAUUAGAAGAUUAUAGGAAUCUGUACUAUUAGCCCUGAUCAACACCGCAUCAAGGAGUGAUGUCUUAACCAACCUAACAGUGGGCCACAUGAAGAGUGCACCGACUGGCUUACAUGUAAUUUAAGUGCCUGAACACAAGACUUGCACCUCAUAUGGCAGGGCAGAAGUCAUCCUUGACCCCUACGAGUAUGAGCUAUUUGACUCGUACUUAAAGUUUGUCCGACCAGUGUACGAACAUGCAGAAGAAGAUGGUGAUGGUGAUGAUCAACGGCCCUUCUCCAUCCAGACCACUGGUGCUCCAUUGAAAAAAACGUCUCCGGAACUUCAGAAAAGCUGGGUGAGGUGGGGGUAUAAUAGCACCAUCAGUAAAAGAGCAAUCAGGAAGACGGUGGCAACAAUUGUAAUUAAUUUUUUUGAAAAAUAUAGAUUUGUUAUGCCUCCGUCUGGAGGCAUUAUGUUUUCGGGUUGUCCGUCCAUCCAUCAGUCCCGUUUUCAUUCUCGUUCUCGCGAUAACUUAAAAAAGAUUUGACGGAUCAACUGCAAAUUUUGAUCAUGUAUGCAUAUGGGAGGGACAAUUUUUUCAUACAGUGUUACGUAAGUUCAUGUAACCCAUCAGGUUUACUAAUCAGCCUCUUUGUAAUUAUGUGUAUAACUGUGAACACAUAGGUUUGUAUGAACCAUCUUGAUCUAUUCCUCGUUGACUCAUUUUUUGUCUCUUCACUUAUGAUCUUUAACUAGUCCUUCUGGUUGAGGUUACACAAAGCCAGAUCAAGAGAAGUCUACAUUUAUGCAUCUUGGUGACUUCUGAAAUAUUUAGACUUUUUGAUAAGGCUUUCACUUUCUAUUGAAGGCACCACUUUCAUGAAGAAGAAUGCAGAGUAGAGGUUACUUUAAACUGUCUAGUUUCAAUUGUAUGUUUACUUGCUUUUCCAUGUAUCACAGACUAUCAUUUGUACCACAGCUGUAAUAAAGGCAUAUACAUUUAAAUGUACAUUCAGUGAUUGCAUCAAUUUUUGCUCUAAACCGCAAAAAUCUUUAAUAAAAACCAAGUUUUCUUUUCCUUGAACAGCAAAA